Molecule: ribosomal RNA, 450 nt
Filed under: uncultured bacterium
Lineage: Bacteria
Description: bacterial SSU rRNA
Rfam family: Bacterial small subunit ribosomal RNA
Source: RNAcentral
AACGAACGCUGGCGGCAGGCCUAACACAUGCAAGUCGAACGCUGUAGCAAUACAGAGUGGCAGACGGGUGAGUAACACGUGGGAACGUACCUUUCGGUUCGGAAUAACUCAGGGAAACUUGAGCUAAUACCGGAUACGUGCGAGAGCAGAAAGAUUUAUCGCCGAAAGAUCGGCCCGCGUCCGAUUAGCUUGUUGGUGAGGUAAUGGCUCACCAAGGCGACGAUCGGUAUCUGGUCUGAGAGGAUGAUCAGCCACACUGGGACUGAGACACGGCCCAGACUCCUACGGGAGGCAGCAGUGGGGAAUAUUGGACAAUGGGCGAAAGCCUGAUCCAGCCAUGCCGCGUGAGUGAUGAAGGCCCUAGGGUUGUAAAGCUCUUUCGCCAGGGACGAUAAUGACGGUACCUGGAUAAGAAGCCCCGGCUAACUUCGUGCCAGCAGCCGCGGUAAU